This 478-nucleotide ribosomal RNA is filed under the name uncultured bacterium. RNAcentral's name for it is "bacterial SSU rRNA". It matches the Rfam family "Bacterial small subunit ribosomal RNA", at positions 330 to 801 of the family's 1533-position model. The record is from RNAcentral.
ACCGUACUCCUACGGGAGGCAGCAGUAGGGAAUCUUCGGCAUGGACGAAAGUCUGACCGAGCAACGCCGCGUGAGUGAAGAAGGUUUUCGGAUCGUAAAGCUCUGUUGAAAGAGAAGAACGGGUGUGAGAGUGGAAAGUUCACACUGUGACGGUAUCUUACCAGAAAGAGACGGCUAACUACGUGCCAGCAGCCGCGGUAAUACGUAGGUCCCGAGCGUUGUCCGGAUUUAUUGGGCGUAAAGCGAGCGCAGGCGGUUAGAUAAGUCUGAAGUUAAAGGCUGUGGCUUAACCAUAGUACGCUUUGGAAACUGUUUAACUUGAGUGCAGAAGGGGAGAGUGGAAUUCCAUGUGUAGCGGCGAAAUGCGUAGAUAUAUGGAGGAACACCGGUGGCGAGAGCGGCUCUCUGGUCUGUAACUGACGCUGAGGCUCGAAAGCGUGGGGAGCGAACAGGAUUAGAAACCCCGGUAGUCCUUGAC